GCGCCGAUGGUCCAGCCUGGUCUAAGACGCGAGCCUUCCAAGCUCGCAACGCGGGUUCAAAUCCCGCUCGGCGCA
This is a transfer RNA of 75 nucleotides. It matches the Rfam family "tRNA". From Rfam's summary of the family: Transfer RNA (tRNA) molecules are approximately 80 nucleotides in length. Their secondary structure includes four short double-helical elements and three loops (D, anti-codon, and T loops).